AGAACGAACGCUGGCGGCAUGCCUAAUACAUGCAAGUCGAACGAACUCUUCGGAGUUAGUGGCGCACGGGUGCGUAACGCGUGGGAAUCUGCCCUUGGGUUCGGAAUAACAGUUGGAAACGACUGCUAAUACCGGAUGAUGACGAAAGUCCAAAGAUUUAUCGCCCAGGGAUGAGCCCGCGUAGGAUUAGCUGGUUGGUGAGGUAAGGCUCA
Molecule: ribosomal RNA, 212 nt
Filed under: uncultured soil bacterium
Lineage: Bacteria
Description: partial 16S ribosomal RNA
Rfam family: Bacterial small subunit ribosomal RNA
Source: RNAcentral